UGAGUACGAGCUGCUACGGCAGCGAAGUGGGUGAUGUCAAGCUUCCAAGAAAAGCCCUAUACCCGUUAAGGCAUGAUGGCCUGUACCCGAAACCGACACAGGUGGGGUGGUAGAGAAUACCGAGGGGCGCGAGAUAACUCUCUCUAAGGAACUCGGCAAAAUGGCCCCGUAACUUCGGGAGAAGGGGUGCCACCGCAAGGUGGUCGCAGUGAAGAGGCCCAGGCGACUGUUUACCAAAAACACAGGUCUCCGCUAAGUCGCAAGACGAUGUAUGGGGGCUGACGCCUGCCCAGUGCCGGAAGGUUAAGGAAGCUGGUCAGCGUAAGCGAAGCUGGCGACUGAAGCCCCGGUGAACGGCGGCCGUAACUAUAACGGUCCUAAGGUAGCGAAAUUCCUUGUCGGGUAAGUUCCGACCCGCACGAAAGGCGUAACGAUCUGGGCGCUGUCUCGGAGAGAGGCUCGGCGAAAUAGAAUUGUCUGUGAAGAUGCGGACUACGUGCACCCGGACAGAAAGACCCUAUGAAGCUUUACUGUAGCUUGGUAUUGUGCCCGGGCUCUGAAUGCGCAGGAUAGGUGGGAGGCUUUGAUCCAUUGCUUGUGGGUGAUGGUGAGCCAACGGUGAGAUACCACUCUUUCAGAGCUAGGGUUCUAACGGUCACCCGUCAUCCGGGGACCGGACAGUAUCAGGUGGGCAGUUUGACUGGGCGGUCGCCUCCUAAAAGGUAACGGAGGCGCGCAAAGGUUCCCUCAGGCUGGUUGGAAAUCAGCCGACGAGUGUAAAGGCAGAAGGGAGCUUGACUGUGAGACCUACAAGUCGAACAGGGACGAAAGUCGGCCUUAGUGAUCCGACGGUUCUGAGUGGAAGGGCCGUCGCUCAACGGAUAAAAGUUACUCUAGGAUAACAGGCUGAUCUCCCCCAAGAGUUCACAUCGACGGGGAGGUUUGGCACCUCGAUGUCGGCUCAUCGCAACCUGGGGCUGAAGUCGGUCCCAAGGGUUGGGCUGUUCGCCCAUUAAAGCGGUACGCGAGCUGGGUUCAGAACGUCGUGAGACAGUUCGGUCCAUAUCCGGUGCAUGCGCAGGAAUAUUGAGAGGAUUUCUCCCUAGUACGAGAGGACCGGGAGGAACGCACCUCUGGUGUGCCAGUUAUCGUGCCAACGGUAAACGCUGGGUAGCCAUGUGCGGAGAGGAUAACCGCUGAAAGCAUCUAAGUGGGAAGCCCACCUCAAGAUGAGUAUUCCCAUGGCGUUAGCCAGUAAGGUCACGGGAAGAACACCCGUUGAUAGGCUCUACGUGGAAGCCGGGUAACCGGUGAAGCGGAGGAGUACUAAUAGACCGAGGGCUUGACC
Molecule: ribosomal RNA, 1348 nt
Filed under: metagenome
Description: bacterial LSU rRNA
Rfam family: Bacterial large subunit ribosomal RNA
Source: RNAcentral